UCUCACUGAAACAUACGGAAAAAGAUAAUUUUAAGUAUUAUAUAUUUACAUUUUUCUUCUUCGUUAAUUUUGUAAAAAUAUGAAGUUGAAUCUUUAUUGAAUAUACCAAAUAAUUUAUUAUCGUUACAGAUUUACGGAUGAACUAAUUUUAUAAUAAAUCGUUCACUUAAAAAGAUUUCAAAAAACAGUUUCAAUUUCAAUACACGCUAGAUAAUAGGUCAUUAAGUUAAUCUCGUGCUGAGUAAGAAAUCCCUUAAACGCGGAUUACUUGUCACGUGAGAUUGCGUGACUUGAAAUUUGUCCGCGGAAAAUACUUCAGCGCUCUAUUAAAGGUCUGAUAUUUUUCCUGUUCGCAAGAAAUAGGGCGAGGCGACAUCGUAACUACUUUGUGUCAGUGUAUAGUCGUUGGAAACCAUCGUAGAUAUAAGGUUCGUCAAGUUUACAGAGAAAUUUGCAGAAAUUCUAUGGGAUUGGAGGUCUGCAAUCUUUUAGAAGCUUAUUCUAAUAUUGACCGAGCUAUUGGAUAAAGGAAAUCAAAGAUGAACUACACUUUUCAACAGAACGGGUCUUUACAUUGUAUCAAAGGACUUUUAAUAUUUUUUAAUAAGAUAAGCUUUGGAUAUAACUGCUCUUAGAUUACCAUAUCUACACUUUACUUACUGUAGAAGUGGUACAGUUAAAAAAGUUGUAUUUUAUUUCUUUAUUUAAUCAUGAUCAAGUUCAUUGUAAUCUCAUAAAUGACAAGAAUGUACUUGAUUCAAUUUUGAGAACAUUAUUUGAGUUAUUGAUAAAUUUAAUUAACAAAAUAAUGUGUUAUUAUGUUCACAAAUAUAAUCUUUUAUAUUUUACAGUUGUUUCACUUUGAUAUUAUUCAUUUUAAUUUUGACUAAAUUAUUUAAAAUAGACAUCUAAUAUUUUUAACGGUAGAAAUUAAUAUUCUUUAUCCAUAAUUUUUUUAAUUACUGUUUGUACAAUGUAAAAAAAUUAUUUUUAAUAGAAAAAGAUUUUCUACAGUUUCCAAGAACAAAGAUAAUAAUUUCAACAACUUUCUAAAUUAUUAUUUAUUUAGUUUAAAAAUUAUUACUUUUAAUAAGAAAAUUAAUAUUUGCCAUUAGUGUUUCUAUAAAGGAGACGUUUGAUUCAAUUAUAAAUGAAGCGAAUAAUAAUUAGAACGACACUUGGAGAGAAAAGAGAAAGAUAUCUCAUAAAAUGAUCAAUAGGGAGUUAACUUUCAUGCGAUUUCGCAAGCCGAGAAGUUUCGAAGUGGAGCGCAGAGCUUCCACUGCGACUUUCACGCCCUAAAACUUUUCAGAACCGAAGUCGAACUUCCACGAAACUUCUGCAACGGAUGUCGGUUGUAUUUUUCUCCAGAUCCUCAAAUAUUUAAAAUCAAUCCACUAAAAUCUACGAUUUCUUUGCUUUUUUUUUAUACAUUUCUAUCUCUGCAUCACUCUCAUAUCAUGGAUCUUCCAGUUUUCAUUUUGAGUAAAAAUAUUCUGAAGCGAGUUUUUAAAAUCGUGUAGAUUUUUACUUUUGAGAGAAUAUUGUUUAUUUUAUGAACAUAAUAUUUUCUUUAGGAUACUUUGGGAAUUAUAUUUCACCUUUUUUUGGCAGAUCUAAAGUUUAAAAAAUAUCAUAUUUUUUAUAAACCGUAGAAAGAAAUAUAAUUUUUAUUUCAGGUCAUGUCAAAGAUAGUAAAGUUAAAACAUUAUCAUUUAUAGUGAGAGAACAUCUGAUUCUAAAAUAUCCAAUUCGUCUAAGAGGCCAAAAUGAUCAACUCCACCUUUUAUAAGUUUCACAAUUUUAUUAUCCAGGUACAUGAUUAAUGUUCGGUUCUCAAAAUAUAAAUAGCUUACUCCCAUGAGUUCGUUUAUCGGGAGAAAAAAUAGUAUAAAUGCUAGUAAAUCCAAAGAUAAUUUUUUUUUUAACAAUUCUUCUAAUGCAACCACUUCUUUCUACUUUUCAAUUUUCUUCUUGGCUUCUGAGUGGCACAUACGAGCCUCUUAUUUGUCAAAUCGGCUAAUUGCACAAAAAGAUUGCACAAGAAAAUCGCUGAACUUACAUGAUUCCAAUGGACAAUUCUGAAGCACGGUACGUAGGCCUGUGUACCACUUCGUAUUGUCGUCGCAACUAGCGCCAUCGGUCACAAGGAUGACAAGUACGAACACGUAGAAUGCACGCGGGUGCAUCUGCAUUCAGGG
Molecule: long non-coding RNA, 2201 nt
Organism: Bombus huntii
Lineage: Eukaryota; Metazoa; Arthropoda; Insecta; Hymenoptera; Apidae
Exons: 3
Source: RefSeq, a predicted model, not a curated record